RNAcentral lists this ribosomal RNA (460 nucleotides) under uncultured bacterium. Its description in RNAcentral is "partial 16S ribosomal RNA". It matches the Rfam family "Bacterial small subunit ribosomal RNA", at positions 338 to 795 of the family's 1533-position model. The record is from RNAcentral.
CCUACGGGAGGCAGCAGUGAGGAAUAUUGGUCAAUGGGCGCGAGCCUGAACCAGCCAAGUAGCGUGAAGGAUGACUGCCCUACGGGUUGUAAACUUCUUUUAUAAAGGAAUAAAGUGAGGCACGUGUGCCUUUUUGUAUGUACUUUAUGAAUAAGGAUCGGCUAACUCCGUGCCAGCAGCCGCGGUAAUACGGAGGUCUCAAGCGUUGUUCGGAAUCACUGGGCGUAAAGCGUGCGUAGGCUGUUUCGUAAGUCGUGUGUGAAAGUUUGCGGCUCAACCGUAAAAUUGCAAUUGAUACUGGCAGUCUUGAGUACAGUUGAGGUAGGCGGAAUUCGUGGUGUAGCGGUGAAAUGCUUAGAUAUCACGAAGAACUCCGAUUGCGAAGGCAGCUUACUAAACUGCAACUGACAUUGAUGCUCGAAAGUGUGGGUAUCAAACAGGAUUAGAUACCCGGGUAGUC